UGGGGAAUAUUGGACAAUGGGCGCAAGCCUGAUCCAGCAAUGCCGCGUGUGUGAAGAAGGCCUUCGGGUUGUAAAGCACUUUUAUCAGGAACGAAAAGCGUGGGGUUAAUACCUUUACGUGCUGACGGUACCUGAGGAAUAAGCACCGGCUAACUUCGUGCCAGCAGCCGCGGUAAUACGAAGGGUGCAAGCGUUAAUCGGAAUUACUGGGCGUAAAGCGUGCGUAGAUGGUUUGUUAAGUCGGAUGUGAAAGCCCCGGGCUCAACCUGGGAACUGCAUCCGAUACUGGCAGACUAGAGUGUGGUAGAGGAUGGCGGAAUUCCCGGUGUAGCGGUGAAAUGCGUAGAGAUCGGGAGGAACAUCCGUGGCGAAGGCGGCCACCUGGGCCUGUACUGACGCUCAUGCACGAAAGCGUGGGGAGCAAACAGGAUUAGAUACCCCAGUAGUCCCUGAGCGGGCUGGCAAGGCGCAU
This 472-nucleotide ribosomal RNA is filed under the name uncultured bacterium. RNAcentral describes it as "bacterial SSU rRNA". It matches the Rfam family "Bacterial small subunit ribosomal RNA", at positions 355 to 825 of the family's 1533-position model. The record is from RNAcentral.